AAAAAUAAUUCAUUUCAUACUUUGUAUGUCUAUACAUUCAUUUCAAAUUUUUAUAUACGUAUAUGAUGUAACGAACUAUUUACCUAUCUAGCCUCUUUAUAAAAAAAUAUUCCCUAUCUAGCCUUCUUUUGAAAAAUAUUCCCCAUCUAACCUCAUUUUCAAAGAUUUGAGAAAAAAAGAAAAAUUAAUACCUUUAAUAUAUAUUAAGGGGUUAAGUGGGGGAGAUUAUCUUUUUCUCUCUCCUCUCCUAUUUUCCGAUAUCCCUUCUCACUCUCUAAUUUUUGCGUAUAAUUUAUCUCAUAUCGAUUUAUUUCAAAAUAGAAAAUUUUUAUAUAGCGCAUCAAUCUUUUUAUAUUUUGAUGGAAAUAUUAUGCAUGAUUCGGAAGGAGUUGAUUAUAAUGGUCCUGAUCCAAAACUAUUUGGAUUUCUCGUACUUUAGGUUUUAAUACAUUAAAACAUAAAAUUUAUAAGCCGAAUGGGAUCAAGAUUAUUUUGAUAUAAAAAUUAAUGGGAGAGGAGAGAGAAAAAGAUAAUCUCCCCCACUUAACCCCUUAAUAUAUAUUAAAGGAAUUAAUUUCUCUUUUUUUCUCUAAUCUUUGAAGAUGAGGCUAGAUGGGGAAUAUUUUUCAAAAGGAGGCUAGAUAGGGAAUAUUUUUUUGUAAAGAAGCUAGAUAGGUAAAUAGUUCUAAAAUUAGAUCACAUAAAUAAAAAAAUCUAUUCAAUUAAGCAUUUUGAAAUUUUUACAUUGGUACCGACCGUCCCUAGAGCAAGUGGCAAAGGGCUUGGUGGUUGGUACCCGAGAUCCCUUCUCACUCUCUAAUUUUUGCGUAUAAUUUAUCUCAUAUCGAUUUAUUUCAAAAUAGAAAAUUUUUAUAUAGCGCAUCAAUCUUUUUAUAUUUUGAUGGAAAUAUUAUGCAUGAUUCGGAAGGAGUUGAUUAUAAUGGUCCUGAUCCAAAACUAUUUGGAUUUCUCGUACUUUAGGUUUUAAUACAUUAAAACAUAAAAUUUAUAAGCCGAAUGGGAUCAAGAUUAUUUUGAUAUAAAAAUUAAUGGGAGAGGAGAGAGAAAAAGAUAAUCUCCCCCACUUAACCCCUUAAUAUAUAUUAAAGAAAUUAAUUUCUCUUUUUUUUUCUAAUCUUUGAAGAUGAGGCUAGAUGGGGAAUAUUUUUCAAAAGGAGGUUAGAUAGGGAAUAUUUUUUUGUAAAGAAGCUAGAUAGGUAAAUAGUUCUGAUAUAACAUUCCAACAAUUUAUUACAAAUAAAAGAAUCAUGAAUCCUAAUACUAAUAAGUAAAAGAUUGAACGUAAG
This 1307-nucleotide long non-coding RNA is filed under the name Ananas comosus (pineapple). RNAcentral's name for it is "long non-coding RNA (ACOM_LNC014310)". The record is from RNAcentral. Lineage: Eukaryota; Viridiplantae; Streptophyta; Magnoliopsida; Poales; Bromeliaceae.